Molecule: small nuclear RNA, 107 nt
Organism: Delphinapterus leucas (beluga whale)
Lineage: Eukaryota; Metazoa; Chordata; Mammalia; Artiodactyla; Monodontidae
Source: Ensembl
GUGCUCACUUCAGCAGCACAUAUAGUAAAAUUGGAACAAUACAGAGAAGAUAAGCAUGGACCUUGCACAAGAAUGACAUGUGAAUUUGUGAAGCAUUACACAUUUUU